This 467-nucleotide ribosomal RNA is filed under the name uncultured bacterium. Its description in RNAcentral is "partial 16S ribosomal RNA". It matches the Rfam family "Bacterial small subunit ribosomal RNA", at positions 28 to 507 of the family's 1533-position model. The record is from RNAcentral.
GACGAACGCUGGCGGCGUGCUUAACACAUGCAAGUCGAACGGAAAGGCCUCUUUCGGGGGGUACUCGAGUGGCGAACGGUUGGUUAACCGGUAGUUACCUGGCCCUUACUUUUGGGUUACUUCAGGAAAAUUGGGGUAAUACCGGAAAGGGGCUCCCUCUGCCUGGGGGGGGUUGGGAAGUUUCCGGCGGUUGGGGUUGGACUCGCGGCUUAUCAGCUUGUUGGUGGGGUAGUGGCUUACCAAGGCUUUGACGGGUAGCCGGCCUGAGAGGGUGACCGGCCACAUUGGGACUGAGAUACGGCCCAGACUCCUACGGGAGGCAGCAGUGGGGAAUAUCGCACAAUGGGUGGAAGCCUGAUGCAGCAACGCCGUGUGCGGGAUGACGGCCUUCGGGUUGGAAACCGCUUUCGCUCAUGACGAAGCUUUGUGUGACGGUAGUGGGUAAAGAAGCACCGGCUAACUACGUG